GAAGACUUCUAAUGGAAUAAAGAGAAACCAGUAAAGUUUUUAGGGGCUACUUGGUAUUAGAAUGAGAAACUGGAAACAGGGGGCCUUAAAAACGUGACCAAUUUUCUCCACAUGACGUUGGCUGAGUUCUGGGCCUGAAAAUGCAUCUAAAAGACUGAAAUCUUCCAAAGUACCGCAGGGCUUAGAAAAUAAAGCUUUCCCAAGAAGGAACGGCCCGCCUCAAAACCAAGCCCAGUUCCUGCCUCCUCCUGAGAUUUGCCAGAUUUUGAAACUCCAUGGGGACAGCAUCCAGACAGCUGGGAAAACAUAACUAGUCCUGUGAAGAAGCAUGAAUAUAUAAUUGAUAAACAACAGAAAAAAAAAUAGACAACAGACACACAAAUCAUUCAGCUAUUGGAAUCAGUAGACGGAACUUUAUAAUAAUGAGUGGAAGAACUGGAACUCUCAUGCACUGCUGGUGGAAGUGUAAAAUCCAUGUAUCUGCCAGAGCACACUAAGGAUACAAAAACUACACAGUACUUUGGACAGGAAAUUUUACUGUGAAGAAUUAUUAAGGGGCUUCCUUGGUGGCUCAGCAGUGAAGAAUCUGCCUGCCAAUGCAGGAGACACAGGUUCGAUCCCUGAUGGGGGAAGAUCCCACAUGCUGCAGUGCAACUAAGCCCCUGCACCACGACUUUUGAGCCUGUGCUCUAGAGCCCAGGAGCUGCAACUAUGAGGCCACGUGCUACAUCUACUGAUGCCUGUGUGCCUUGAGCCUGUGUUCCGCAACAAGAUAAGCCACUGCACUGAGAAGCCCAUGAACUGCAACUAGAGAGAGAGCAGCU
This is a long non-coding RNA of Bos taurus (domestic cattle), 824 nucleotides long. NCBI's taxonomy places the organism in Eukaryota, Metazoa, Chordata, Mammalia, Artiodactyla, Bovidae. The record is from Ensembl.